CCUACGGGAGGCAGCAGUGGGGAAUUUUGCACAAUGGGGGGAACCCUGAUGCAGCGACGCCGCGUGAGCGAAGAAGGAAUUCGUUUCGUAAAGCUCUGUCCUAUGGAAAGAUAAUGACGGUACCAUAGGAGGAAGCCCCGGCUAACUACGUGCCAGCAGCCGCGGUAAUACGUAGGGGGCGAGCGUUGUCCGGAAUUAUUGGGCGUAAAGGGUACGCAGGCGGUCUAAGAAGUCAGAUGUUAAAGCGUAGGGCUUAACCCUAUAAAGCAUAUGAAACUGAUAGACUUGAGUAAAGGAGAGGAAAGUGGAAUUCCUGGUGUAGCGGUGAAAUGCGUAGAUAUCAGGAGGAAUACCGGUGGCGAAGGCGACUUUCUGGACUUUAACUGACGCUGAGGUACGAAAGCGCGGGGAGCAAACAGGAUUAGAUACCCCGGUAGUC
This 439-nucleotide ribosomal RNA is filed under the name uncultured Tissierellaceae bacterium. RNAcentral describes it as "bacterial SSU rRNA". It matches the Rfam family "Bacterial small subunit ribosomal RNA", at positions 338 to 795 of the family's 1533-position model. Lineage: Bacteria; Bacillati; Bacillota; Tissierellia; Tissierellales; Tissierellaceae. The record is from RNAcentral.